RNAcentral lists this ribosomal RNA (158 nucleotides) under uncultured bacterium. RNAcentral describes it as "partial 16S ribosomal RNA". It matches the Rfam family "Bacterial small subunit ribosomal RNA", at positions 355 to 509 of the family's 1533-position model. The record is from RNAcentral.
UGAGGAAUAUUGGUCAAUGGGCUGGAGCCUGAACCAGCCAAGUCGCGUGAGGGAAGACGGUCCUAUGGAUUGUAAACCUCUUUUGUCGGGGAGCAAAGAGGCCACGUGUGGUCAAAAGCGAGAGUACCCGAAGAAAAAGCAUCGGCUAACUCCGUGCC